This 490-nucleotide ribosomal RNA is filed under the name uncultured bacterium. RNAcentral's name for it is "partial 16S ribosomal RNA". It matches the Rfam family "Bacterial small subunit ribosomal RNA", at positions 30 to 507 of the family's 1533-position model. The record is from RNAcentral.
AUUGAACGCUGGCGGCAUGCCUUACACAUGCAAGUCGAACGGCAGCAGGAGCUAGCUUGCGAGAUUGAUGGCGUGUGGCGAACGGGUGAGUAAUACAUCGGGACGUGCCCUGUAGUGGGGGAUAACUAGUCGAAAGAUUAUCUAGUACCGCAGACGACCUGAGGGUGAGAGUGGGGGACCGCAAGGCCACAUGCUAUAGGAGCUGCCGGUGUCUGAUGAGAUGGUUGGGUAGGUAAAGGCUCACCAUGGCGACGAUCAGUAGCUUGUCAGAGCGGACGAUAAGCGCCGGUGGGAGUGAGAGACGGCCCAGACUCGUACGGGAGGCCGGCGUGGGGACUUUUGGACGACGGGCGAAAGCAUGAUCCAGCAAUGCCGGAUGUGUUGAGAAGGCAUUCGGGUUGUAAAGCACAUUUGUCAGGAAAGAAGUGGCUCUGGUUAAUACCUAGGGUCGAUGACGGUAUCGGAAGAAUAAGGACCGGCUAACUCCGUG